AGGCAUACACAUGCAAAUCGAACGGUAACAGGAAGCAGCUUGCUGCUUCGCUGACGAGUGGCGGACGGGUGAGUAAUGUCUGGGAAACUGCCUGAUGGAGGGGGAUAACUACUGGAAACGGUGGCUAAUACCGCAUAACGUCGCAAGACCAAAGAGGGGGACCUUCGGGCCUCUUGCCAUCAGAUGUGCCCAGAUGGGAUUAGCUUGUUGGUGAGGUAACGGCUCACCAAGGCGACGAUCCCUAGCUGGUCUGAGAGGAUGACCAGCCACACUGGAACUGAGACACGGUCCAGACUCCUACGGGAGGCAGCAGUGGGGAAUAUUGCACAAUGGGCGCAAGCCUGAUGCAGCCAUGCCGCGUGUAUGAAGAAGGCCUUCGGGUUGUAAAGUACUUUCAGCGGGGAGGAAGGUGUUGUGGUUAAUAACCGCAGCAAUUGACGUUACCCGCAGAAGAAGCACCGGCUAACUCCGUGCCAGCAGCCGCGGUAAUACGGAGGGUGCAAGCGUUAAUCGGAAUUACUGGGCGUAAAGCGCACGCAGGCGGUCUGUCAAGUCGGAUGUGAAAUCCCCGGGCUCACCCUGGGAACUGCAUUCGAAACUGGCAGGCCUGAGUCUGGUAGAGGGGGGUAGAAUCCAGGGGUAGCGGUGAAAUGCGUUGAGAUCUUGAGGAAUACGGGUGCGAAGGCGGGCCCCUGGACAAAGACUGACCCC
Molecule: ribosomal RNA, 711 nt
Filed under: Salmonella sp. Trautman ave_2007_11
Lineage: Bacteria; Pseudomonadati; Pseudomonadota; Gammaproteobacteria; Enterobacterales; Enterobacteriaceae
Description: bacterial SSU rRNA
Rfam family: Bacterial small subunit ribosomal RNA
Source: RNAcentral